This is an RNA transcript of Bombus huntii, 2694 nucleotides long. RefSeq lists it as uncharacterized. The transcript is spliced from 5 exons. The record is from RefSeq and is a predicted model, not a curated record. Lineage: Eukaryota; Metazoa; Arthropoda; Insecta; Hymenoptera; Apidae.
UUCGCAGUGGCCAGUACAAUUUUACCAUGGAUAGCCUAUUAUAUCGCGAACUGGAGAUAUUUUACUUACGUUACUGCCAUACCGCUGUUAUCUGUCGCUAUCACACCGUGGAUUCUUCCCGAGAGCGCCCGCUGGUACGUUUCCAACGGGAUGAUGGACAAGGUUGUUGAGAAACUACGGAGAACAGCUAGGAUCAAUCGCAGAAAUCCAGACUCGCGUAUUUGCAAUAUAUUCGUCAGUAACAUGGAGGCACCGGACAAAAUUCAAGAAUCAGCGACGCUGCUCGAUCUGUUCAAAACGCCACGGUUGGCGAGAAACACUAUUCUUCUAGUUGCAUUCUGACAAGUAUAAGAUACGAGUUCAUGUUGCGAGAAAACCUUCAUAAAUAACCGAUACAAUCUUGUAGGUGUUUCACCCUGAUCUCGUUCGACGGUCACGUGUAUUCAUUAAAACUUAUCCAGAGCUCGGUGUUCGUGUCGUUCUUGAUCGCCUGUGCCACAGAACUUCCAGCUGGGUUAUUACUCGCCCUGUUGCUCGACCGAUGGGGUCGUAGACUCUGCGGAUUUCUCACGAUGGCAAUGACCUGUGUGCUCAGUAUCGCUGAACUUAUGCUGCAUUCCAUGCUCGCGAAAUUAGUAAUGUCAAUAUUGUCGCGAUUCUGUCUGAACAUGGCAGCCAAUGUUGGUCUUCAGUAUGCAGCAGAACUUCUGCCCACGCCAGUCAGAUCGCAGGGCGUAUCUUUCAUUCAUAUUUUCGGAAUAGUUGCACACUCUUUGGCGCCAUAUAUCACUGACUCGGCUGCAAUUUGGGAGGGAUUUCCAAUGCUCAUUAUCAGCACGGUGUCCUUUUUUUGGCGCUGCACUGGUUUUGUUCCUGCCGGAAACUGUCGGCCAGAAUCUUCCUCAGACUAUCAAGCAAGGCGAAGAAUUCGGAAGGGACCAACAUUUCUGGUCGUUGCCUUGCUACCAUAAGACACACUUCAAUGGACAUCAACACUAUCACUCCUGUGAACGAUAAUUAUCUGAUUUUUAAUAAUAAUUCAAUUAAAAAACACGAAGGAGGAUUCGUGUUUUUUUAGAAGUAACAAUAUUACAAGCGGAUCAGUCUGACGAUUUUUGUACGAGAAAAAAUCGGAACAUAUUAUUUUUCUAUUCUCCUACAUUAAUUUUUAUUUUUAUCGUUUACGUUUAAGAAUUUGUAAGCCUUAAUUCUAAAAAGAGCGAGCUUAGAAAUCGUGUUCCUAUAUAAUUUUUAUUAUUAUCUUUUAAGAGCUUUUAUAAUUUUAAUGCUAAUUUUCACUUGCGUUACGCACGUUCGAAUCGUUCAGCGGUUGGUGCUAAUUUGAUAUUCAAAGAUAUUACGUAGAAUAAUAUCGAAAAUGUUACGUAAAUUAAUAAUUACGUAAUUUAUUAAGUACGUAAAUAAUAAAUUAGGGAGAUUUAAAUUUUUGAUUCCUUUAAUGUUUUUAACAUUUUUCACUGGAAUAUAUUGGACAAAAUCUUAUUUAAAAAAAUAGUACGUUUAGAUAAUUUGUCUUUGUGAAAAGAAACAGUUUUAUAUCUUUUGAACGAUUAUCCACGUAUUUUUAACGAUUAUUUAUCUAUUCGCUAUUUUUUUUGUACGAUUUUAAAUAACGUACAAUAUUAAUAAAAUCCAAGCUUGAAGACUUUUUAAAUUAUAGUUAUAAUUUCUUCAGCACCAACUGCUGGACUUUUAUUUAUCUAAAACGAGUUGUGCGUACAUUUAAAAAAAAAUAACUCUAAUUGACUGUUUCUAUGGUUUAGGAAGAAGAAAAAAAGAAAGGAAAGAAUAUUGUAAGCAAAUCGUGCCAUCGUAUGACGAUCAGUGUUCGUCGUUGUGCCAAUAACAACGCAAUCAAUCUGAAGAAACCUAUUCAUAGUAUUCAUAAUCAUCACUCACGUAUACAUACGCGUAUACACUCACGUCCAUAAGAUUGAUUCACCGAAUAAAACUUCCAUAAACCUUAAUAUAAGAAACAAUUCUACUUUUUAUUUGCACACACAUCGACGAAUCCCCCGAACAAAAAUAAACUGCUAAAUAUCUCUAUAAUUAAAUACAUUAAUGCUCGAUGAUCCUCGUUCAUCAUUAUACGUCUAAUCUAACUCCAUCCUAUAAUUAGGAGUUCUACGAUAACGAUCACUUAUGUUACAAUGUAUUAACCCUUAACAGCCGAACUUAAUUAUAAUUAAUUGUAGAAAAUGAAAUGCUUCAUUAUACGGAUAUUUGAAGUAAUAUUCUGUAUUAUACAGGGUGUCUGGUAAUUGAUACUGUGAUAACCAGUGGUUAGUUAAUGUGGUUAAUAACCAGUGGUUAGUUAAUGUGGUUAAUAACCAGUGGUACAGGAUAAUACUAUGUGAAAGGAUCUGUUGAAAAUAUAGAACGAGAGAUUUUCGUACGACGUUCGAGAGAAUGAAAUUCUGAAGCUUUGUCAACUCGUGUUCACACGACAUUCACGAAACAUAUUCAAAAUUUAUUUUCUCGAAAAUACGAAGAAUCAUCAGUUACGAAACACUCUGUACUAUAUCACAUUAUUAUAUCACUAUCGUAUUGAUAAGAAAUGUCGAUAUUAUAACUCCUUAAGACUCCCUUAAUAUUUAUUUGCGAUUCAGCUUAAUAUGUAUUGGCCCUGUGUAGUUUCAAGAUUAAAAAUAUAAAAGAAUUCAUUCCUGAUUA